GUCAUAGAGGAUUAGUGCUGAAAUGUGUCAUGGAGAGGGCUCUGUCCUCUCCCUUUUAAGUUGAAAGCAGUUUGGUUUUUUGUUUUGUUUUAACAUUCUGAAAGAGAAAGAGGCUCUGAACCGAGUUUAACAUCCUUCUGUACAAAAAUUUUCCGACAGGACAAAUAAACUACUCUUCCACUGAACUGUGACUUUUGAGCUGACUCUAGGGUGCACCCAACCUUCCAGAGGUGUCUGGCUUAACCCUCAAAGAGGCAGCUCCAGCCCCAGGAGCCGACCGGCACCACAGCACCUGAGCAGGGCACUUUAGGAAGGAAAGCGGAAUCUCUAGUGAAACUUCUCAUUUCCUGUCGCUGCUGAGAGAGGCUGGACUCGCUCCUUCUCACAUGGUUUAGGAAGAGCUGUAAACGGGAGCUUGCCGGCUGGCCACCAGCUCAGGGGCCCUGGGGGCGGCCUCCGGGUUCUGCUCCCUGUUCUUCCCUUUGACCAAUGUCACUCCUGGACAGAUAACGGGACCAAACGCCCUUCACUUCCUCGAGUCCUCAUGUAUGUCAUGGUUCCUCUUUCAGGAAAACAUGAGUACAAGACGCAAAGCAAAAGAAGAGACUAAAGGCAAAUUACCCCAUCACCUCGUUUCGUCCCUCCCCUUCGUUAUUAUAGAAGAGCUUGAUCAAAUUCCCUUUGUCGCGCCACACACACGCAGAGUAGGUGAAGGGCACCCUAAGACAACUUCUUUCCCGCCUGACAGAAAGCCUUUACGAAAUCCUCACACCAUCUCCGGACGCAAAGCUUUCGCAUUCAGCUUGAGGAGCUAAACCAUUUCAAGCCAAGACUGACAUAAGAUUGUGAAAUGCUGUGCUUUAGAAAACGUG
Molecule: long non-coding RNA, 872 nt
Organism: Pan troglodytes (chimpanzee)
Lineage: Eukaryota; Metazoa; Chordata; Mammalia; Primates; Hominidae
Exons: 2
Source: RefSeq, a predicted model, not a curated record